GAUAGUGUAGCCAAAUGGUAAGGCAAGGCUCCGCAAAAGCCUGAUUUAAGGUUCAAUUCCUUACACUAUCUCCA
RNAcentral lists this transfer RNA (74 nucleotides) under Caudoviricetes sp. RNAcentral describes it as "tRNA-Cys". It matches the Rfam family "tRNA". From Rfam's summary of the family: Transfer RNA (tRNA) molecules are approximately 80 nucleotides in length. Their secondary structure includes four short double-helical elements and three loops (D, anti-codon, and T loops). Further hydrogen bonds mediate the characteristic L-shaped molecular structure. tRNAs have two regions of fundamental functional importance: the anti-codon, which is responsible for specific mRNA codon recognition, and the 3' end, to which the tRNAs corresponding amino acid is attached (by aminoacyl-tRNA synthetases). tRNAs cope with the degeneracy of the genetic code in two manners: having more than one tRNA (with a specific anti-codon) for a particular amino acid; and 'wobble' base-pairing, i.e. permitting non-standard base-pairing at the 3rd anti-codon position. The record is from RNAcentral. Lineage: Duplodnaviria; Heunggongvirae; Uroviricota; Caudoviricetes.